This 1949-nucleotide ribosomal RNA is filed under the name human gut metagenome. RNAcentral describes it as "bacterial LSU rRNA". It matches the Rfam family "Bacterial large subunit ribosomal RNA", at positions 1 to 1974 of the family's 2925-position model. The record is from RNAcentral.
GAAAGUAAGCAAGGGCAGACGGUGGAUGCCUUGGCUCUCGGAGGCGACGAAGGACGUGAUAAGCUGCGAAAAGCCCGGGGGAGGCGCAAAUAGCCCUUGAUCCCGGGAUAUCCGAAUGGGGCAACCCGGCAGGCUGAAGGCCUGCCAUCCCGUAAGGGAGGCGAACGUGGGGAACUGAAACAUCUAAGUACCCAUAGGAGGAGAAAAUAAACAAUGAUUCCGUAAGUAGUGGCGAGCGAACACGGAAGAGCCCAAACCCGUGGCGUCUAGGCGACACGGGGGUUGUAGGACCACGACGUGGCAAGAUAGAGUCAAGUGGAACGCCUUGGAAAAGGCGACCGUAGAGGGUGAUAGUCCCGUACACGACUGACGAUUGAAGCCUAGUGGCAUCCUGAGUAGCGCGGGGCACGAGAAAUCUUGCGUGAAACUGCGGGGCCCAUCCCGUAAGGCUAAAUACUCCCGAGAGACCGAUAGCGAACCAGUACCGUGAGGGAAAGGUGAAAAGAACCCCGAGCAGGGGAGUGAAAUAGACCCUGAACCCGUCUGCCUACAAGCGGUCGGAGCAUCGUCAAGAUGUGACGGCGUGCCUUUUGCAUAAUGAACCUACGAGUUACCUUCCCCGGCAAGGUUAAGUACCUAAGGUACGGAGCCGAAGCGAAAGCGAGUCUGAAGAGGGCGGCCAGUCGGGGGGGGUAGACGCGAAACCGAGUGAUCUACCCUUGGCCAGGUUGAAGGUUGGGUAACACCAACUGGAGGACCGGAUGGGUAAGCGUUGAAAAGCUUUCCAAUGAGCUGAGGGUAGGGGUGAAAGGCUAAUCAAACUCGGAGAUAGCUCGUACUCCCCGAAAUGCAUUUAGGUGCAGCCUCUUUAUAGUAUAUCGUGAGGUAGAGCGACUGAUUGGAUGCGAGGGCUUCACCGCCUAUCAAGUCCAGAUAAACUCCGAAUGCGCGAUAUAUAUUUACAGGGAGUGAGGGCGCGGGUGCUAAGGUCCGUGUCCGAGAGGAGAAGAAUCCAGACCACCGGCUAAGGCCCCCAAAUGAUCGUUGAGUUGAACUAACGAGGUCGGAUCGCAGAGACAGCUAGGAUGUUGGCUUGGAAGCAGCCAUUCAUUUAAAGAGUGCGUAACAGCUCACUAGUCGAGCGAUCUGGCGUGGAUAAUAAUCGGGCAUAAACGAUCUGCCGAAGCCGUGGAUGUCGCAAGACAUGGUAGGGGAGCAUUCCAUGCGGCGUCGAAGAUGAGGGAUGACCCUUGUUGGAGCGCAUGGAAAAGCAAAUGUAGGUAUGAGUAACGAUAAGGGGGGCGAGAAACCCCCCCGCCGAAAGACCAAGGUUUCCUGAUCAACGCUAAUCGGAUCAGGGUGAGUCGGGACCUAAGGCUAAGCCGAACGGCGACGCCGAUGGAAGAAUGGGUUAAUAUUCCCAUACUGCCUCAUGGAGUGACGUGGAGACGGAGAAGUGACAGUCCUGCCGGCUGACGGAAUAGCCGGUUGAAGGGUGUAGAUAUUGAUUCCCGUAGGCAAAUCCGCGGGGAGAGUCGAACCUGACAGUAUACGGAGCGCUUGCGCAACGUAAUAUGGACGUAACCAUGCUCCCAAGAAAAUCCGCUAAACUUAUCCAUGCGGCACCCGUACCGUAAACGGACACACGUGGUCGGGUUGAGAAUACUGAGGCGCUCGAGUGACUCACGGUUAAGGAACUAGGCAAAUUGACCCUGUAACUUCGGGAUAAAGGGUCCUCGUCGUAAGGCGAGGCGCAGAGAAUAGGUCCAGGCAACUGUUUAACAAAAACACAUGGCUGUGCUAAAUGGAAACAUGAUGUAUACAGCCUGACACCUGCCCGGUGCUGGAAGGUUAAGAGGAGAUGUCAUCGCGAGAGAAGCGUUGAAUUGAAGCCCCAGUAAACGGCGGCCGUAACUAUAACGGUCCUAAGGUAGCGAAAUUCCUUGUCG